CUCAUUGUCCCCGCCCCUUGCUCUGUUUUCUUCCAGCUGCCGGACCAGCGGGCCUGCCGCCUCUACGGACCAGUCCCUGCUCAGGUGUCACUUUUGCUGGCAGGCCGAGAUUAGGGCAGGAGAGUGGGCAAGGCGUCGCGGCCAGGAGGAGAAGGGCUCUACCACGCCACCCUCCUUUGGCCUCCGAACGCGGACCCCGCACACACACACCCGCGCCUCUUUGGCAAGCGUGCCUUGUCGGCUGGGUUAAGCCGCAGUGCGUGCACACCGAGCGGCGGGGCGCUGUGGAACGCGGGAGCGGACUAGCGGAGGAGGAUGCGGACCAAGCCCCAGCGACCCAGGGCAACUCGGAGCUACCUCGGGCAGCCCUGCGGGUCUCCGAGGAGAACCGAGGAGACGGGAGAAACAUGGGAGAGGGUGGCCUUUUCCCUGUUCACACACACAUGCACGCAGCCACUGGCCGGGACAGUUGACACCCAUCUUCCUUCCCUGCUCCUUCCAGUCAUUCUACACCCGCUUGGUGCUGCCAGUGCGGGCAGGGCCUUGGAGCCCAAAGCGGAUCCCCACACUUGUCCCUACGGUCGGAAGGAAAGUAGAGGAGAGAAAGUCAGGCGCGGCAGGGCUAAGAGCAAUAGUGGCCCAAAUGUUCCUGGCCCGCCUGCUGCGCCACAGAGUCUGAAAAGCGGGUCUCCGUCUACCAGAAGGUGACCUCCACACAGCCCCUCUCCCCGACCAACUGCAGCACCCAAGGACUGGCAACGUGGUUGGAGCUUUUGGGGGGAAUUAUGAAGAAAUCUGAAUAAAUUUCUCACCCUUCAUGUU
This 822-nucleotide long non-coding RNA is filed under the name Homo sapiens (human). The record is from RNAcentral. Lineage: Eukaryota; Metazoa; Chordata; Mammalia; Primates; Hominidae.